Molecule: long non-coding RNA, 282 nt
Filed under: Nicotiana tabacum (common tobacco)
Lineage: Eukaryota; Viridiplantae; Streptophyta; Magnoliopsida; Solanales; Solanaceae
Description: long non-coding RNA (NTAB_LNC011777)
Source: RNAcentral
UUGCCAUUGUCAUGGCUGAUUGUCCCGUUCUGUUGUUCGGAUGUCCCAUUCUGGUGGCCGUUCCGAUGUUCGGAAGUGCCAUUCUGGUGCCCGUUUUGGUGUUUGGAAAUGCCAUUCUGGUAGCCGUUGAGGUGUUCGGAAGAGCCAUUUUGGUGGCCGUUCAUGGGAAUGGUACCAUUCUUGAAGAUGGUAGAGCCAUUUGUGUUGGUAGAUAUGACUUCCAUUUUCAAAAUUAAACUAAACAAAUUGAAGAAGAGAAAGUAUUAUGGUUUGUAUUUUCCG